This is a long non-coding RNA of Oncorhynchus tshawytscha (Chinook salmon), 878 nucleotides long. RefSeq lists it as uncharacterized. The transcript has 3 exons. The record is from RefSeq and is a predicted model, not a curated record. Lineage: Eukaryota; Metazoa; Chordata; Actinopteri; Salmoniformes; Salmonidae.
GCCGCGCUCCUCCGCUGAACUGUGUCUCCUGCCUGUUUAACGGCGGGGAGAAGACACUAUAUGGCAGCGUGCUCCUCCCUCUCCCCAGCCAGGCAGCCUCAUCUGUCAACCAUUAGUUAAUCAGGGCGGGUAACGCACAAGGAGCGCAUGAAACUGGCACAGCGCGUGUGACCCAGGGGACAGCUUCACCUCUGAGAGCAGAGCAGGAGGAGGGCAAGGACCCAGGGGACCGACGGUGUCCUCCACUCUGCACUCCACUGCCAGGCUCACUCUACUCAACACUGUCUCAGGAUUGGCAGGCUGCAGUCGCGGGAUGCCCCCACCCAUUCCAUCCCAGAGGACAGCUUUGUCAGUGUCACUGUGGGGAAAAGAAGAUGUUUGCGGAGCUCAGAGGGUAAGACAUACGCCAGUGAGCUAUCGCAGGCUACUUUUACUGUUCAAGGUCCUGUUUUGCAGGGAAGUUUCAAAGACAGAAGUCAAAACCACACAUGUUGUCGACGUGGGAACAGCUGGUAAGGGCAGAGCGUUGUGGUGCGGAGGAAUGUUAGAGUCAUAGAUCUUUCAUCCUCAUGGCCAAAAUAGCCACACACAGGCCUGAUCAUCUCCAUGCAUAGGAAGAAACACUAACCAACACAAAUACAGUCCAAUCCAACCCUGGUCAAUGCGGUCCAAAUCUUGCAUCCAGAAAUCCUUAGAUAAUUACUACAUGAGUAAGUAAGUAAGUUAUAUUUAUUGAAAUUAACUGGUAUAAACUCACAAAUAGGAUUCCUUCACAAAACAGUUGGUACAAACCAAUGACAUAAGUACAGUGGGUCAAAAAAGUAUUUAGUCAGCAACCAAUUGUGCAAGUUCUCCCACUUAAAUAGAUGAGGCCUGUA